Long non-coding RNA from Aptenodytes forsteri (emperor penguin), 834 nucleotides. RefSeq lists it as uncharacterized. The record is from RefSeq and is a predicted model, not a curated record. Lineage: Eukaryota; Metazoa; Chordata; Aves; Sphenisciformes; Spheniscidae. The transcript has 3 exons.
GGAAGCACACGCACUCCCGUUACGCCAGGAUUGCCCAGGCGUCGAGCCGCUCUUACCCGCUAGCCCCAGCCCCGGUUGCAGGAGAACCUAUAUAGGAAAAAGUGAACUCUCAUAGUAGAAGAAAAUGACAAUCCACAGAGUUUGGCACCCUUAAAACAAUACUCUCCCUCAAAGAUGCAUCGGUCUGCUUCAAACUUAAAAAGAUGAGUAAGAUCAGUAAAGCUGGAAAACACAUAGAACUGAGUCUAAACCUUUACGCUGAAUUGGAGUCUCUUUCUACAGCUAUGGACCCAGAAGGAAUCUCAAAUCUCAGUGAACUCUGUUUCAGGUCCAGUGAGAAGUCGCUGUUGAACACCCUGAGGACUGUAUUUACUCAGUGAACCAACCUGUGUUGGAGAUGGGAAAGAGCAUUUCUUCUCAUGGUUCCUCUGAAUGCAAUAGCCUGCUGUUUGACUAUGUGCGUACUGGAACUGGCAGUCAAAUCUCUGCUCAGUACCAGUUAGUGAUGGUAAAAAUAAUAUUCCAGAAUUGUUUUCAGUUUGAGGGUGAGGAUGAUCACAAGAACACAGGCACUUUUGGAUGCACAGCACUGUGAUGCGAGAAGAUAUUUGGGAAAAUCCUUUUUGCUCUAAAUUCAAACCACUUUUAUCGAGAUGCAUCUAUAUUUGGCAUUACCGGAGGAUUAAUUUGGUCAUCAACCUAUUUCUUCAUGUUUGAUAAAAUUUCAUUUCAGAAAUAAAGGAUUUAUAGCUUACUUUCCCUCAAUGCACGUUAUCAUUUAUAUAACUGACAGCUUCAGUUGUUAAAAGCAGUACAUGAGGUUUUUUCCAAUAA